RNAcentral lists this ribosomal RNA (553 nucleotides) under uncultured freshwater bacterium. Its description in RNAcentral is "bacterial SSU rRNA". It matches the Rfam family "Bacterial small subunit ribosomal RNA", at positions 8 to 607 of the family's 1533-position model. The record is from RNAcentral.
AGAGUUUGAUCCUGGCUCAGAGCGAACGCUGGCGGCAGGCCUAACACAUGCAAGUCGAACGGACCUUUCGGGGUUAGUGGCGGACGGGUGAGUAACACGUGGGAACGUGCCUUUAGGUUCGGAAUAAGCUCGGGAAACUGGGUCUAAUACCGAAUGUGCCCUUCGGGGGAAAGAUUUAUCGCCUUUAGAGCGGCCCGCGUCUGAUUAGCUAGUUGGUGGUGUAAUGGACCACCAAGGCGACGAUCAGUAGCUGGUCUGAGAGGAUGACCAGCCACAUUGGGACUGAGACACGGCCCAAACUCCUACGGGAGGCAGCAGUGGGGAAUCUUGCGCAAUGGGCGAAAGCCUGACGCAGCCAUGCCGCGUGUAUGAUGAAGGUCUUAGGAUUGUAAAAUACUUUCACCGGUGAAGAUAAUGACUGUAGCCGGAGAAGAAGCCCCGGCUAACUUCGUGCCAGCAGCCGCGGUAAUACGAAGGGGGCUAGCGUUGCUCGGAAUUACUGGGCGUAAAGGGAGCGUAGGCGGACAUUUAAGUCAGGGGUGAAAUCCCAGAG